Meleagris gallopavo (turkey) is the source of this 2695-nucleotide non-coding RNA. The record is from RefSeq and is a predicted model, not a curated record. Lineage: Eukaryota; Metazoa; Chordata; Aves; Galliformes; Phasianidae.
AUGGCUCGGAGGACAAAAGGAAUGAACGAGCUGCCUUCAGAUUAUGCUAAGCAGCAGAAGCAGAGGUGCAUGUCGAUUUUGGGAGCAGAAGGAUUUCCCAUGUUGCUAGUGAAGUGUCUGUUUAAAGCUCUGCAGCAUCGGUGAAGAAACUGCAUCCCGGUGUUAGACAAUCCUAAGGGACAGAAGAAAGAAAACCAGAAAGAGAGAAAGUUUUGUUCAGUGAAGGAGCAUGUGCGUGACACAUAUGCAAUCCCGUUACUGGGCUGGCUUUACCUCACACAUAGCACCCAUCUGAAACACGACCUGAAACAUGAAGUAGAGAGAAGUAGAAAACAGAAGUAGGAAAGGAAAACAAAAAGCGGAAGUAGGAGGAAAUAAGCAGAAAUAAUCAUGUGAACUGCAGCUUUGCAGCCAAAUGAGGUUUCUUGUCUUCAGCUCAGGAAUCCAGGUGAAUAUCAGCCAUUUCAUAUCAGCCAUUUCAUUUGGUCCACUCUGCUCUUCUGAGUUCUACCAGUGGAUGUUCAGUAAGGUUAACUGGCACCUGAAGGUAUGGCAAAUGUUUUACUGCUUUGGUUGCAUGGAAAACUAUACAAACCAUGGGCUAGAAAUGUCUGGGAGCAGACAGGUGGAAAAAGCAAAAAGAAGAAUUUGUUGAAAGUGGAGCAUAUGCUGAUUAGCACGAAGAAGAAGGCAGUGGAAAUAGUUACCUACCCAAAUAUUCAAUGUCACAUUGUUAUGGUACUAUCUUGUGAUAGCUAGAAUUUCUCAGCGGGGUGCAUCACGGUGGAGUGUCUAUAUCUGAGAAGGUCACAUUUCCCAUUCAUGCUGUGGAAGAAUGUUCAGAAAUGCCCACAUUAGAGGAAUACAAACGUUUCGGGAGUGCGCAACAGAUGCCUGCUCAGAAAUGCUAACGCAUGUGCAGAAAUGUUGCCCUGACGUGCUAGAAUUGGGAACAGUGUUGCAGGAGGCUAUGAUUGCACAAGACAACUGCACUGAAAAGCACUGUGGCAACCUGGUUUUGUGUGCUGAGUGGGAGUGUGUCUCUGCUAACAAACCCUCCCUGGAGAACUGAAUCCUAAAUGUGUUUCUGUGCUUAUCCUCCCACUGCCUCUCUGAACAGUUACAGGUUUCAAUUCGUUCAUCCUCUCCUUUUGUCUACUGAUCCACAUCCGUCCCAGUGAGCAGUUGCCAUUUGUUACUACAUAAUUUUGUGUCACACAGACUGUGAUAGUAAUUACAGUCCCUGCCUGGGAGAUUUGGGUGUAAGAGACGGUUUGUUUGCCGGAGUGAUCAUCAGGUGAUUGUUUUGGUGCAAUGUAUUUAUCAGCUCCAAAAAGCUGCACUGAAGGGAAAUGAAAACUCCACAGACCCGAGACAAAUGGUAUUACCUUCCUUCAGUGGGCCAAGGAAAGCAGGUUCAUCUUAAUUAUUUAUGAUGGAAUGUAUGGAAUGCCUCUCUGGUGAUGAUAGGCGUCUCAUUUGCACAGGCAGCAUCGCAUACAGUUUCAUUAGCAGCCACACGGUGCUGUGUUCACUUACACCAUGUCAGCUUUAAAAGCUCAGUGAUUUUCAGGUAACUUUCUGUAAGGGUGAUUUCAAAUAACCUGAAUAUUUAGCGCUUCUGCAUGUUUGUCAAAAGGAAGCUAAGCCAUAUGGAAUGUCUUACAUGUGUCCAUUUGGUAAACAAACUGUGGUAAAAAAAAUAGAUAAAACCAAAACAAAGCAGAUAAAACAUUUCUGAGACAGAGCAAUUAAAAUGGUAAGGGGGUGCCCAGAGAUGUGGUGGAUGCCCCAUCCCUGGAGGUGCUCAAGGCCAGGUUGGAUGGGGCCUUGGGCAGCCUGAGCUGGUGGGGGCAGCCGCAGGAGGUUGGGGCUGCGAGGGCUUUUAGGGUUCUUUUCAACCCAACCAUUCUGUGUGUCUGUGAUUCUUAAGCUAUUAGAAAGUUUCCUGGUGUGCUGGAAAGGUGCUGCCAUGUCAGCAUAAUGUCCAAGUACUGUAUAAAUGCACAUUGGAAAAUAUCCCCAUGAAUUAUUAGGUGUUGGAAGUUACUUGAUAGAGAUUUCUGUUGGCUUUUUUUUAGUACCACAAAACCCUGGUAAUUCUUCUCCCUUUGGGGAGACUUGUGCCGAGGUUCCUGUGCAAAACCAGCACAGCUGUAGGAAUUUUGAAAGCCGCUUGCUAUCAUCUCAUCAGACAGACUCCUGGCAUGGAUGAAUUAGCACAGCUGCCAUCUAAGAUGUGAUCUAGUUCAUAUGGGCGUCAAAAAAGAACAGCUUCAGUUUGUUAACACUUUCCAUGAACAAGUGACUAAAAAGAAAUAAUGUUGUUUAAACAGUUAGUUUCCCGAGUUUUGACAUUUAUAAAGCAAUUCACUUUUUUUAUUAUUGUUCUUCUAUUCUUGCUCUGUGUUAACUCGAUUCCACCUUAAUGAUUUGUUUGUUUUAUCUAGUCUUCAACAACUCUGCUGGAUGCUUCUUUUCUGUUUAGAAAAGGGAUUCCAUACUGCAUCAACCCUGUGAUCCUGCUGCUUGUGUGCUACUUGUGAGCGGGGAUAUAAACAUGCUUUCAACCCAGCAUUUUAUUUGCAAGGAAACUGGGCCAAAUUCCUCCUUUGUGAACUGAAAAAAUCUCUCUAGAUUGUACGUGUCCAACCCAUUAGUUUUAUGUUUUUUUAUGCUUUAAUAAAAAGUAUAU